GAACGCACCUUGCGCCCUUUGGCCAUUCCGAAGGGCAUGCCUGUUCGAGCGUCAUUUCACCACUCAAGCCCAGCUUGGUGUUGGGGCACCCGGCCGCCCGGCGGUCGGGGCCCUCAAGUACAUCGGCGGUCUCGCUAGGACCCUGAGCGCAGUAACUCGCGGUAAAACGCGCCUCGCUCGGAAGUUCCCAGCGGGCUUCCAGCCGCUAAACCCCCUAAUUUUCUUAGGUUGACCUCGGAUCAGGUAGGAAUACCCGCUGAACUUAAG
Molecule: unclassified non-coding RNA, 267 nt
Filed under: Falciphora oryzae
Lineage: Eukaryota; Fungi; Ascomycota; Sordariomycetes; Magnaporthales; Magnaporthaceae
Description: sequence contains 5.8S rRNA gene
Source: RNAcentral